RNAcentral lists this ribosomal RNA (246 nucleotides) under uncultured bacterium. RNAcentral's name for it is "partial 16S ribosomal RNA". It matches the Rfam family "Bacterial small subunit ribosomal RNA", at positions 523 to 769 of the family's 1533-position model. The record is from RNAcentral.
AUACAUAGGGGGCAAGCGUUAUCCGGAUUUAUUGGGCGUAAAGGGUGCGUAGGCGGCUUGUUAAGUCUAAGGUGUAAGUGCAGAGCUCAACUCUGUGAUGCUUUAGAAACUGGUGAGCUAGAGAUAGAUAGAGGCAAGUGGAAUUCCAUGUGUAGCGGUAAAAUGCGUAAAUAUAUGGAGGAACACCAGUGGCGAAGGCGGCUUGCUGGGUCUAUACUGACGCUGAGGCACGAAAGCGUGGGGAGC